UACGGAGGGUGCAAGCGUUAAUCGGAGUUACUGGGCGUAAAGCGUGCGCAGGCGGUUUGUUAAGUCCGUUGUGAAAGCCCCGAGCUCAACUUGGGAAUUGCAGUGGAUACUGGCAGGCUGGAGUACGGUAGAGGAAGGUGGAAUUCCCGGUGUAGCAGUGAAAUGCGUAGAUAUCGGGAGGAACACCAGUGGCGAAGGCGGCCGUCUGGACCAGUACUGACGCUCAUGCACGAAAGCGUGGGGAGCAAACAGG
Molecule: ribosomal RNA, 253 nt
Filed under: uncultured bacterium
Lineage: Bacteria
Description: partial 16S ribosomal RNA
Rfam family: Bacterial small subunit ribosomal RNA
Source: RNAcentral